GAAUGCUGACAUAAGUAACGAUAAAGCGGGUGAAAAGCCCGCUCGCCGGAAGACCAAGGGUUCCUGUCCAACGUUAAUCGGGGCAGGGUGAGUCGACCCCUAAGGCGAGGCCGAAAGGCGUAGUCGAUGGGAAACAGGUUAAUAUUCCUGUACUUGGUGUUACUGCGAAGGGGGGACGGAGAAGGCUAUGUUGGCCGGGCGACGGUUGUCCCGGUUUAAGCGUGUAGGCUGGUUUUCCAGGCAAAUCCGGAAAAUCAAGGCUGAGGCGUGAUGACGAGGCACUACGGUGCUGAAGCGACAAAUGCCCUGCUUCCAGGAAAAGCCUCUAAGCAUCAGGUAACAUCAAAUC
Molecule: ribosomal RNA, 349 nt
Filed under: Escherichia coli
Lineage: Bacteria; Pseudomonadati; Pseudomonadota; Gammaproteobacteria; Enterobacterales; Enterobacteriaceae
Description: partial 23S ribosomal RNA
Rfam family: Bacterial large subunit ribosomal RNA
Source: RNAcentral